Rhodamnia argentea is the source of this 179-nucleotide long non-coding RNA. RefSeq lists it as uncharacterized. The transcript has 3 exons. The record is from RefSeq and is a predicted model, not a curated record. Lineage: Eukaryota; Viridiplantae; Streptophyta; Magnoliopsida; Myrtales; Myrtaceae.
UAAUUCUCUUUCGGAUGAAGAGAUUACACCAGGAAACAAGUGUCAGAUAAUGGCUCAGCGAAGCUUGUCUAAGAGACAAAAGUCUACUUGGGAAGUUUGAGUACUAGAUGUCACUUCCUUGCUUUCAUUAAAUUUUUCGUGUUUGUUCAAUGACUAACAAGAGAGCAGUGCAUCGGGAU